GCUGACCGAGCGAUACCGCUUGAAGGAUGAAGCCCUUCGGGGUGUAAACUUCUGAACUCGGGACAAUGAUGACGGUACCGAGGUAAUAGCACCGGCUAACUCCC
Molecule: ribosomal RNA, 104 nt
Filed under: uncultured Meiothermus sp.
Lineage: Bacteria; Thermotogati; Deinococcota; Deinococci; Thermales; Thermaceae
Description: partial 16S ribosomal RNA
Source: RNAcentral